Molecule: ribosomal RNA, 303 nt
Filed under: uncultured bacterium
Lineage: Bacteria
Description: partial 16S ribosomal RNA
Rfam family: Bacterial small subunit ribosomal RNA
Source: RNAcentral
AGCAGCAGCCGCGGGAAUACGAAGGGGGCUAGCGUUGUUCGGAAUUACUGGGCGUAAAGCGCACGUAGGCGGACAUUUAAGUCAGGGGUGAAAUCCCGGGGCUCAACCCCGGAACUGCCUUUGAUACUGGGUGUCUAGAGUAUGGAAGAGGUGAGUGGAAUUCCGAGUGUAGAGGUGAAAUUCGUAGAUAUUCGGAGGAACACCAGUGGCGAAGGCGGCUCACUGGUCCAUUACUGACGCUGAGGUGCGAAAGCGUGGGGAGCAAACAGGAUUAGAUACCCCUGUAGUCCCUGUCUCUUAUAC